AGUGAACGCUGGCGGUAGGCCUAACACAUGCAAGUCGAACGGCAGCACAGUAAGAGCUUGCUCUUAUGGGUGGCGAGUGGCGGACGGGUGAGGAAUAUAUCGGAAUCUACUUUUUCGUGGGGGAUAACGUAGGGAAACUUACGCUAAUACCGCAUACGACCUACGGGUGAAAGCAGGGGAUCUUCGGACCUUGCGCGAUUGAAUGAGCCGAUGUCGGAUUAGCUAGUUGGCGGGGUAAAGGCCCACCAAGGCGACGAUCCGUAGCUGGUCUGAGAGGAUGAUCAGCCACACUGGAGCUGAGACACGGUCCAGACUCCUACGGGAGGCAGCAGUGGGGAAUAUUAGACAAUGGGCGCAAGCCUGAUCCAGCCAUACCGCGUGGGUGAAGAAGGCCUUCGGGUUGUAAAGCCCUUUUGUUGGGAAAGAAAAGCAGCAGGUUAAUACCCCGCUGUUCUGACGGUACCCAAAGAAUAAGCACCGGCUAACUUCGUG
Molecule: ribosomal RNA, 492 nt
Filed under: uncultured bacterium
Lineage: Bacteria
Description: partial 16S ribosomal RNA
Rfam family: Bacterial small subunit ribosomal RNA
Source: RNAcentral